This 253-nucleotide ribosomal RNA is filed under the name uncultured bacterium. Its description in RNAcentral is "partial 16S ribosomal RNA". It matches the Rfam family "Bacterial small subunit ribosomal RNA", at positions 524 to 776 of the family's 1533-position model. The record is from RNAcentral.
UACGUAGGGCGCAAGCGUUGUCCGGAAUUAUUGGGCGUAAAGAGCUCGUAGGCGGUUUGUCGCGUCUGUCGUGAAAGCUUGGGGCUUAACCCCAAGUCUGCGGUGGAUACGGGCAGACUAGAGGCAGGUAGGGGAGAACGGAAUUCCUGGUGUAGCGGUGAAAUGCGCAGAUAUCAGGAGGAACACCGGUGGCGAAGGCGGGUCUCUGGGCCGAUACUGACGCUGAGGAGCGAAAGCAUGGGGAGCGAACAGG